CAUGCGGUGUCAGUCUAAGUACUUGAUAGCGGCAUGGCUUCAAAUUGAGGU
This 51-nucleotide non-coding RNA is filed under the name Pasteurella multocida OH1905. Its description in RNAcentral is "L31-Gammaproteobacteria ribosomal protein leader". It matches the Rfam family "L31-Gammaproteobacteria ribosomal protein leader". The record is from RNAcentral. Lineage: Bacteria; Pseudomonadati; Pseudomonadota; Gammaproteobacteria; Pasteurellales; Pasteurellaceae.